UCCAAUCGGCAGCCAUAUAUUUCAGAUUCUUUCAUUCUGGUUAGAAAAUAAUAAUGUAUUGAGGGAUUUAUAAUAUUGAUCAAGUAGUACCAUGUUGAGAAGAUAAAUGGAUGGAUGGCAUUGAUCCUUGGUUGGAUGAGAUGACUCUACUGCCUGCAUGUAGCUCUGAGAAUGGAGGUUCAGGAAGAAGCACAAACAUCUUUGCAAUGACUAGAAAAAGCAUGGAUGUUGAGUGUGUAGAAUGGGUUUACAAAGCUGCUGUCAAUUUGCUGAGAUUUUGGAAGUAAAUGAUUCCUCAAUGAACGCUGAGAAUAGGAUGGAAGAUAAGAAUCUGCACAUAAUUUUCGCAACCCUGUGGCAUUGAUUGCUUGCCCUUCUUGGAUCCAGGCGGCUCCAGAGUUCGGACUCUCAAUAUCACGGUCCACUUUACUGCAUCUUAUCUGAUCAAGCUUCUCAGAACCAUCUUGCGCUGAUGCUGCUGGGCAACGUGACGUGCCAGUCAUAU
Molecule: long non-coding RNA, 505 nt
Organism: Lolium rigidum
Lineage: Eukaryota; Viridiplantae; Streptophyta; Magnoliopsida; Poales; Poaceae
Exons: 3
Source: RefSeq, a predicted model, not a curated record